Molecule: non-coding RNA, 112 nt
Organism: Hydra vulgaris (swiftwater hydra)
Lineage: Eukaryota; Metazoa; Cnidaria; Hydrozoa; Anthoathecata; Hydridae
Source: RefSeq, a predicted model, not a curated record
UACAGAGGAACAAUCAACAUCUUAUUCUGCUUUGCCUAAGUUUUUUACCUUCACAACUGGAAUGGAACAAUCAAAUUUUUGUUUGGUUUUAUCUCCCGAAUCUCAAGAAUCC